ACCCUUCAUUCACCUAAGCGUGCAACUUACUGAAGUCUGGAUUGUGCUUUGAUUUCAUGGCUUUAGGAAUGUCAGUGAUUAAGCAAUCGAUUAUCUGAGUGGUAAUGAUUGGAAGUUAUUGCAGUUAAGUAAUGCUAAGCCUUUGAGACAAGCAGGAGAUUCCAAAUGGAAUUCAUGGCUAAUAUCAGUGAGGCAGUCUACUGUGUAACGUAGUAUUUAUCACUUCCUUAGGAAGACAAAUGAUCUUUUCGGUUUGCAUAAAGUAUUACAUUUUUGAAAUUUAUAUAUCAUUUGUGUUUUCUAUAAUAAUACCAUAAAACAUUCCUAGAAUUUGA
Molecule: long non-coding RNA, 335 nt
Organism: Cebus imitator (Panamanian white-faced capuchin)
Lineage: Eukaryota; Metazoa; Chordata; Mammalia; Primates; Cebidae
Exons: 2
Source: RefSeq, a predicted model, not a curated record